AAAAGGUGGCUAUGCUACCGCUUUUGGAUGGGCCCGCGGCGCAUUAGCUAGUUGGUGGGGUAAAGGCUUACCAAGGCAAUGAUGCGUAGCCGAACUGAGAGGUUGAUCGGCCACAUUGGGACUGAGACACGGCCCAAACUCCUACGGGAGGCAGCAGUAGGGAAUCUUCCACAAUGGGCGAAAGCCUGAUGGAGCAACGCCGCGUGGGUGAAGAAGGUCUUCGGAUCGUAAAACCCUGUUGUUAGAGAAGAAAGUGCGUGAGAGUAACUGUUCACGUUUCGACGGUAUCUAACCAGAAAGCCACGGCUAACUACGUGCCAGCAGCCGCGGUAAUACGUAGGUGGCAAGCGUUAUCCGGAUUUAUUGGGCGUAAAGGGAACGCAGGCGGUCUUUUAAGUCUGAUGUGAAAGCCUUCGGCUUAACCGGAGUAGUGCAUUGGAAACUGGGAGACUUGAGUGCAGAAGAGGAGAGUGGAACUCCAUGUGUAGCGGUGAAAUGCGUAGAUAUAUGGAAGAACACCAGUGGCGAAGGCGGCUCUCUGGUCUGUAACUGACGCUGAGGUUCGAAAGCGUGGGUAGCAAACAGGAUUAGAUACCCUGGUAGUCCACGCCGUAAACGAUGAAUGCUAAGUGUUGGAGGGUUUCCGCCCUUCA
RNAcentral lists this ribosomal RNA (653 nucleotides) under uncultured bacterium. RNAcentral's name for it is "bacterial SSU rRNA". It matches the Rfam family "Bacterial small subunit ribosomal RNA", at positions 202 to 842 of the family's 1533-position model. The record is from RNAcentral.